CAAGAUUAAAACUCAAAGAAAUUGACGGGGACCCGCACAAGCGGUGGAGUAUGUGGCUUAAUUCGAUGCAACGCGAAGAACCUUACCUGGGCUUGACAUGCAUCGCUAAUCGCGUGAAAGCGCGUGAGUGGAGCAAUCCACACUUUGCACAGGUGCUGCAUGGCUGUCGUCAGCUCGUGUCGUGAGACGUUGGGUUAAGUCCCGCAACGAGCGCAACCCCUGCAUUUAGUUGCCAGCGGAUCAUGCCGGGGACUCUAAAUGGACUGCCUAGAUCAACUAGGAGGAAGGUGGGGACGACGUCAAGUCAGUAUGGCCCUUACGCCCAGGGCUGCACACGUACUACAAUGGCCAGUACAGAGUGAACCGAUCCCGCGAGGGGGAGGAAAUCCCAAAAACUGGCCUCAAUUCGGAUUGGAGGCUGCAACUCGCCUCCAUGAAGCCGGAAUCGCUAGUAAUGGCGCAUCAGCUACGGUGCCGUGAAUACGUUCCCGGGUCUUGUACACACCGCCCGUCACAUCAUGGGAGCCGUAGCACC
Molecule: ribosomal RNA, 535 nt
Filed under: uncultured Verrucomicrobium sp.
Lineage: Bacteria; Pseudomonadati; Verrucomicrobiota; Verrucomicrobiia; Verrucomicrobiales; Verrucomicrobiaceae
Description: bacterial SSU rRNA
Rfam family: Bacterial small subunit ribosomal RNA
Source: RNAcentral